RNAcentral lists this ribosomal RNA (253 nucleotides) under uncultured bacterium. Its description in RNAcentral is "partial 16S ribosomal RNA". It matches the Rfam family "Bacterial small subunit ribosomal RNA", at positions 524 to 776 of the family's 1533-position model. The record is from RNAcentral.
UACGUAGGGUGCAAGCGUUAAUCGGAAUUACUGGGCGUAAAGCGUGCGCAGGCGGUCUUGCAAGUCUGUUGUGAAAGCCCCGGGCUUAACCUGGGAAUUGCGAUGGAGACUGCAAGGCUUGAAUCUGGCAGAGGGGGGUAGAAUUCCACGUGUAGCAGUGAAAUGCGUAGAGAUGUGGAGGAAUACCGAUGGCGAAGGCAGCCUCCUGGGAUAACACUGACGCUCAGGCACGAAAGCGUGGGGAGCAAACAGG